Molecule: transfer RNA, 82 nt
Filed under: Prevotella sp. KH2C16
Lineage: Bacteria; Pseudomonadati; Bacteroidota; Bacteroidia; Bacteroidales; Prevotellaceae
Rfam family: tRNA
About the family: Transfer RNA (tRNA) molecules are approximately 80 nucleotides in length.
Source: Rfam by way of RNAcentral
GCAUCGGUGGUGGAAUUGGCAGACACGCUUCGAAGCGCAAAAGUGGUAGAGGUUCUUGCAGGUUCGAGUCCUGCCCGGUGCA